This 1182-nucleotide long non-coding RNA is filed under the name Equus caballus (horse). RNAcentral's name for it is "lncRNA (ENSECAG00000035587.2)". The record is from RNAcentral. Lineage: Eukaryota; Metazoa; Chordata; Mammalia; Perissodactyla; Equidae.
CCCCUGGGCUAACAGGCCAAGGGAAAAACCUCAAUGGCGCCCACCGGGGUCUGUGUCAGCAUGCCUGGACCAGCUCAGAACAAUGGCCCCCACCAAUGUCUUAGUCUCCAGAGAGGUCCCUCCUCUCACCAGAGCCCACCCAGGAUUCUUGUCAUCAGCAUUCUUAACAGGGAUUCCUGACAUGACAUUCAGGACCCAAUGCUCCUGUGUGUGGCACUUACACGUGAGAGCUGCUUCAUUCCAGAAACCCAGCCCGAACCAAGACAAGACCGCAUGCUGCUCAGGAGGUGUAUGUUUCAGAGAGCUAAGCUUUCUCACCUUUCCACAAGGUCCUGCAGCAUGAUGCUACAGCUGCCGCCGUUGUGCAUGGAUGAGGAGCGAGAGAACCCCUUCCACAGUUCCUGGUCAGUGAAGACGUCUAGAAAGAACAAAUCAUCUCCUGAUGCCCUCCGUGGUGAUUCUCCCGUCUGUUAUUUAUGACACCCCUCCAGCACUGCUCGGCCCAACAUCUCAGUCGUCUUGUCCUACCAGAUACCUCACUCUGUUUCUGGAUAUGACCGCGUAAACGUGAGGCCCGUCUGUGCUGGGGCCACUUUGCAAUAAUCCAGGAAGUCAGCCCAAAGUGAUGGCAACACCACGGCAAGACAGAGGGACAAAUAAUGACACCAGUGAACUGUUAAUCCUCCUCUUUCCAAUGACAAGACCCACUACGUCCCUAGCGUCAUAGAAAUCAACUUGAUUCUGGUGCCCUUUGACAAGCUCCGGGAAGUGUCCCAAAUGCUGUGAUCUGCCAUUUGUGCUGUGUCCACACAGAGACCCAGCCCUCGCCUUCCCCCACUCUGAGCUCUGACACCACAUAGAGUCUGGAGCACACAAUGACAUCGUAUCACGAUUGGUAUGUGCUGCUUCCUGUGUUUAUCUUGGGCUGCCCAGCUAGAUGUUCAGCUUCUUAGAGCAGAGAUUCAGCUUUCUCUUCUUGUACGCCAGCAACAUCUGGCAUAAAACUAAAAUGAUGUUUGGUACUCAACAAAGAAUGAUGGAUUAAAUGAGCAUCUUGCAUUCAUCUUGGGUGUAGUAAGUAAGUAAGUAAGUAAUUUCCUGUGCCAUGUUCUUUUGGCAUUUGUUUGUAUAUUGCAUAUCAUCAGAAAAGGUAUUUAAUAAUUGUUACCUGGGAGUCUUAGG